This 219-nucleotide ribosomal RNA is filed under the name Triticum aestivum (bread wheat). RNAcentral's name for it is "partial small subunit ribosomal RNA". Lineage: Eukaryota; Viridiplantae; Streptophyta; Magnoliopsida; Poales; Poaceae. The record is from RNAcentral.
CUAGAUGAAUGGGUGGGGAGCUUUGGGGCUAAAAGGAAGAAAUUGAUCUUUGUAGGGGUAGCCGCUUUAAUUUGGAGCAUAUGGAAAACCAGGAACCUAGCUUGUUUUCAACAUGUCUGGCCUGCUGAUCCUAGUGUAGUAAUUUUUAAGAUGACACAUUGGAUUAAUGACUGGAGUAACUUGCAGGUGAGGGAGGACGCAAAAAUGGAACUACAAUAG